Molecule: ribosomal RNA, 1361 nt
Filed under: Anoplotermes group sp. SB TB-2017
Lineage: Eukaryota; Metazoa; Arthropoda; Insecta; Blattodea; Termitidae
Description: 16S ribosomal RNA
Rfam family: Archaeal large subunit ribosomal RNA (bases 873-1241)
Source: RNAcentral
GUUAAUUAUCUUGUUUUAUGUAUUUGUGUUGUCUCGAAGGUUUAAUUGAAGAAUCAACUAGUUAUUGUAUAUUUUUGAUAUAAUUCUUUUUACUAUAGAUUAUUUGUACCGUAGGGGUAUGUGGUGUUAAUGUAUUUUUAGAAGCUGAUUUUAUUUGUUGUACCUUGUGUAUCAGGGUUCAUUGAAUUUUAUUAUUUAUUUUUGUUUCCCGAUUUUAAAGGAGUUAAUGGUUUAUUUUAGUUAUUGUUUCAUUAUUAUUAAUAAUAGGCUGUUGGUAGUGAAAUGUUAUUCGUCUUUAGUGGUUUCUGGUUUUCCAAGAAAUGAAUUUAAUUCAUGCUCUUUGUUUAAUGUUUACUUUUGGUUUUAUAUGUUUUUAUAUUGAGCUAAGAUUAGGGGGGAUUAGCUCCUUAUUCUACUUUUAUAAUUUUAUUUAUUUUAUUUAGUUUUGUGGAUUUUAUGGUGAUUUUCAAUUUGAUUAUGUUAAAAUUUUAUUUAUACUUUUUCUUAUUUGUUGUUAAUUUAAUUUGUUUAUUGGAAUGUUUUCUUUAUUUAUUUUUGUUUAGUAAUUAUUGUGUAAUUAGUAAAUUUUGCUUUAUGUUGUUUGUUGUUGUGUUAAAUUCUUUUGAGGAAUUAGGCAANNNNNNNNNNNNNNNNUGUUUAACAAAAACAUCUCUUCUUGUUAGUUUUUGAAGUAUGGCCUGCCCACUGACGCUUAUUGUUGAAGGGCCGCGGUAUUUUGACCGUGCAAAGGUAGCAUAAUCAUUAGUUCUUUAAUUGUGAUCUGGUAUGAAUGGCUUGACGAGAUAUGAACUGUCUUAGUUAUAUGAAUAUUUAAUUGAACUUGGUUUUUGAGUUAAAAUUCUUAAAUGGUUUUAUGGGACGAGAAGACCCUAUAGAGUUUGACAUUUAGACUUACUUUAUUUGUUUUGUUUGUUUGAUUUUAUUGAGUGAUUUAGGUGUUUUGUUGGGGUGAUGGGAGGAAUUUAUAUAACUCCUCUUUUUUUGGUAUAUUUGUAUAUAUGUUUUUGAUCCAUUUGUUUUGAUUAUAAGAUUAAAUUACCUUAGGGAUAACAGCGUUAUCUUCCUUGAGAGUUCUUAUUGGCGGGGAGGUUUGCGACCUCGAUGUUGGAUUAAGGUUAAUUUUCGGUGUAGGAGCUGAAAUGAUUGGGUCUGUUCGACCUUUAAAAUCUUACAUGAUCUGAGUUCAGACCGGCGUGAGCCAGGUUGGUUUCUAUCUAUAAUGAUAUUUUAUACCUCAGUACGAGAGGACCGGGUAUUUGGAAUAAUUUUAUUUUGUAUGAUUGUUAUUAAUGUUAGUUACUAUUUUGGCAGAUAAGUGCGUUGGAUUUAGAAUCUAUUAA